Molecule: ribosomal RNA, 253 nt
Filed under: uncultured bacterium
Lineage: Bacteria
Description: partial 16S ribosomal RNA
Rfam family: Bacterial small subunit ribosomal RNA
Source: RNAcentral
UGCAUGUGGGGCGAGCGUUGUUCGGAAUCACUGGGCAUAAAGGGUGCGUAGGCGGUAUGUUAAGUCAGCGGUGAAAUCCUGCGGCCCAACCGCAGCACGGCCGUUGAUACUGGCGUACUGGAGUGCGUGAGGGGUAGGGGGAACGCGUGGUGUAGCGGUGAAAUGCGUAGAUAUCACGCGGAAGGCCAGAGCCGAAGGGGCCCUACUGGUACUGCACUGACGCUGAGGCACGAAAGCGUGGGGAGCAAACAGG